This is a small nuclear RNA of Molossus molossus (Pallas's mastiff bat), 160 nucleotides long. RefSeq annotates it as U1 spliceosomal RNA. The transcript has a single exon. The record is from RefSeq and is a predicted model, not a curated record. Lineage: Eukaryota; Metazoa; Chordata; Mammalia; Chiroptera; Molossidae.
AUACUUACCUGGCAGGGGAGGUACCAUGAUCACGAAGGCGGUUUCCCAGGGGGAGGCUUAUCCAUUGCUCUCUGGGUGUGCUGACCCCGCGAUUUCUUCAAGUGUGGGAAACUCCACGCAUAACUUGUGGUGGUGGGGACUGCAUUUGCGCUCUCCCCAG